This 359-nucleotide ribosomal RNA is filed under the name uncultured bacterium. RNAcentral's name for it is "bacterial SSU rRNA". It matches the Rfam family "Bacterial small subunit ribosomal RNA", at positions 441 to 793 of the family's 1533-position model. The record is from RNAcentral.
AGGAAGGUAGUGUAGUUAACACCUGCACUAUUUGACGUUACCUACAGAAGAAGCACCGGCUAACUCCGUGCCAGCAGCCGCGGUAAUACGGAGGGUGCGAGCGUUAAUCGGAAUUACUGGGCGUAAAAGCGCAUGCAGGCGGCCUGUUAAGUCAGAUGUGAAAAGCCCGGGCUUAAACCUCGGAAAUUGCAUUUGAAAACUGGCAGGCUAGAGUCUUGUAGAGGGGGUAGAAUUUCAGGUGUAGCGGUGAAAAUGCGUAGAGAUCUGAAGGAAUACCAGUGGCGAAGGCGGCCCCUGGACAAAGACUGACGCUCAGAUGCGAAAGCGUGGGGAGCAAACAGGAUUAGAUACCCUGGGAG